RNAcentral lists this ribosomal RNA (513 nucleotides) under uncultured bacterium. RNAcentral's name for it is "partial 16S ribosomal RNA". It matches the Rfam family "Bacterial small subunit ribosomal RNA", at positions 355 to 857 of the family's 1533-position model. The record is from RNAcentral.
UGGGGAAUAUUGCACAAUGGGCGCAAGCCUGAUGCAGCCAUGCCGCGUGUGUGAAGAAGGCCUUCGGGUUGUAAAGCACUUUCAGCGAGGAGGAAGGUGGUGAGCUUAAUACGCUCAUCAAUUGACGUUACUCGCAGAAGAAGCACCGGCUAACUCCGUGCCAGCAGCCGCGGUAAUACGGAGGGUGCAAGCGUUAAUCGGAAUUACUGGGCGUAAAGCGCACGCAGGCGGUUUGUUAAGUCAGAUGUGAAAUCCCCGGGCUCAACCUGGGAACUGCAUUUGAAACUGGCAAGCUAGAGUCUCGUAGAGGGGGGUAGAAUUCCAGGUGUAGCGGUGAAAUGCGUAGAGAUCUGGAGGAAUACCGGUGGCGAAGGCGGCCCCCCUGGACGAAGACUGACGCUCAGGUGCGAAAGCGUGGGGAGCAAAACAGGAUUAGAUACCCUGGUAGUCCACGCUGUAAAACGAUGUCGAUUUGGAGGUUGUGCCCCUGAGGCGUGGNUUCCGGAGCUAACG